RNAcentral lists this ribosomal RNA (497 nucleotides) under uncultured bacterium. Its description in RNAcentral is "partial 16S ribosomal RNA". It matches the Rfam family "Bacterial small subunit ribosomal RNA", at positions 28 to 507 of the family's 1533-position model. The record is from RNAcentral.
GAUGAACGCUGGCGGCGUGCCUAAUACAUGCAAGUCGAGCGAACAGACGAGGAGCUUGCUCCUCUGACGUUAGCGGCGGACGGGUGAGUAACACGUGUAUAACCUCCCUAUAAUACUGGGAUAACUUCGGGACACCGGAGCUAAUACCGGAUAAUAUAUUGAACCGCAUGGUUCAAUAGUGAAAGACGGUUUUGCUGUCACUUAUAGAUGGAUCCGCGCCGCAUGAGCUAGUUGGUAAGGUAACGGCUUACCAAGGCAACGAUGCGUAGCCGACCUGUGAGGGGGGUCGGCCACACUGGAAGUGAGACACGGUCCAGACUCCUACGGGAGGCAGCAGUAGGGAAUCUUCCGCAAUGGGCGAAAGCUUGACGGAGCAACGCCGCGUGAGUGAUGAAGGUCUUCGGAUCGUAAAACUCUGUUAUUAGGGAAGAACAAAUGUGUAAGUAACUAUGCACGUCUUGACGGUACCUAAUCAGAAAGCCACGGCUAACUACGUG